CGGAAACGGUAGAAAACAGUCCGCGGACGGAGCUGAAGAAGACAAUGUCCUCUGACUGACAGCUCGGGAAGCACGGACUCAGCGGCUGGACCAGUUAGCACGAGGAGCUCUCAGGAGUUAGCUGACAUGAAAUCAACAGGAAAACAAAAGGUGGUGACAUCAGGCCGUCUGACUGGAGGACGAGUUCAGCUGAACAGAGCCGCUCCACAUCCUGGACCAGGAUCCUGCCCUGAACCGGCCUACUCUCUGUACUCCACGGACUCUGAAGACCAGGUCACCACCCUCCAUCAGGGUCUGGAUCGCUGUGCUGUCUUGCUCAAUGGCAUCCUCCAGGCUGAGGCAAGUCCAGCUCAGCCCAGCCGCCCUAGACCAGGAACAGGUGGAACCGCCAGACCCAGACCAUCAACCACAGUGGGGAAGAAGACCAUGAAGAAACCACAGAGGAAGUCAGUCCAUAAGAAUCCUCAGUCAGGAUUAGGCAGCACAACACCAAGACCAGCAACCCGGUCUCCAGCUGCCCACUCAGGAGUGAAGCUGCAUCCGCCACGGAGGCCGCUCUACACCCCGUGCCAGGACCACCAUCUCGUAUCUCCAGCCGGAUCCCAGUCCGCCAUCCCUCCAUCCGGAUCCCAGUCCGCCAUCCCUCCCUCCAGAUCACAGACCGCCAUCCCUCCCUCCAGAUCACAGACCGCCAUCCCUCCAUCCAGAUCACAGACCGCCAUCCCUCCAUCCAGAUCACAGACCGCCAUCCCUCCAUCAAGAUCCCAGUCCGCCAUCCCUCCAUCCGGAUCCCAGUCCGCCAUCCCUCCCUCCCCAUCCCAGACCUCCGUCCUUCUGUCUGUGGUCCAGUCCUCUUCGCCGUCAGUCCAGCUACCUCUCCAACAUGCUGACUUCCUGUCUGGGGCUGAGGCUCCGCCCCCACCCCGUGCAGAGGAGGAAUCUGUUCCUGUGAGAGACGUUGACGCCCAGAGCUCGGCUUCACACACCUGUGCACAUGUGGACUCACAAACCAGGACCAUCUGCAGACCAGAGACUGUCCAGUAUUUGCUGGGAGAACUGAAGACGCUGAUCGCCGGACAAGGCAGUGUAGCAGAGAAGCUGCUCAGUCGUCUGGAACAGACAAUGUUGUCACAACUGGUGAACGAUGGAACUGAUCCAGACCUGAGCUGGGACCUCCAGCUUCACAGACAAAUGAUGACUCAGCAGUUACAGGAGAGUGAGAGACUUCAGAAGAACAUGGAAACGUUGAGUCACUCAGAAGCGACGGCUCUGCAGCAGCAGCUUGAUGUGGCUCAGUCCAAACUCCAGGAGCUCCAGCUCGACCUUGCUGGAUUACGGGAAGUCCUGCAGGACACACAGAACCAGCUGAGAGGCAGCAUGGCCGAGACCAGGACCGUCAGGACAGAGUUGGAAGCAGUCAGGAUCAGGCUGGCAGAGAGCGAGAGAGAGAAGAGUGAGUUGGCCUCACUUGCCCAAAAAAGACUGGAGGAGAUAGAAAACCUGAGCAGGAUCCUUCAGGCCUCAGAGACUCAUAGUGCUGUUGAAGGUCCAGUUUCAGACCUGGACCUGCAGCAGUGCAGACAAACACAGAGUCCCCCUGAACGGAUCACUCAGUACCUGGAGUCUUUGGACCAGCUGGGUCCCAAACACACCGAGUUCAUGGCUGCAGAGAGAGAGACCAGCACCCGACAGCCACAGACCCAGACCACGGGCUCUCAAAAACCAGCAGACACCCCAGUCUGUCCACAGAACCUCCACCUGGAUCUGGUCCAGGUCUGUGAGCCUCAGCCAAAGAAGGGCGGUGGCCGACUGCUGGACUCCACGCUGUCCCAGUGUGAUGUAGUCUCUAACUGGUCUGACUGGAGCAUGAGGUCAGGGUCGACCUUUGACACCAGAGACGAGGCGGCCUUCAGAGAUGGUCUGGCUGCUCUGGACGCCAGCAUCGCCAGUCUGCAGAGGACCAUGCAGCUGGACCUGAGGAGGUGAUCCAGACUGUUUUCAUAUCUGCGCAGCACUUUGUAAUUUUCAGAAUUUUAAAGUAACUUAAUAUCAAUAAAGCAUUUAAAGCCAUUGC
Long non-coding RNA from Echeneis naucrates (live sharksucker), 2074 nucleotides. The record is from Ensembl. NCBI's taxonomy places the organism in Eukaryota, Metazoa, Chordata, Actinopteri, Carangiformes, Echeneidae.